This 468-nucleotide ribosomal RNA is filed under the name uncultured bacterium. RNAcentral's name for it is "partial 16S ribosomal RNA". It matches the Rfam family "Bacterial small subunit ribosomal RNA", at positions 28 to 507 of the family's 1533-position model. The record is from RNAcentral.
GACGAACGCUGGCGGCGUGCUUAACACAUGCAAGUCGAACGGAAAAGCCCUGCUUUUGUUGGGUGCUCGAGUGGCGAACGGGUGAGUAACACGUGAGUAACCUGCCUUCGACUUUGGGAUAACUUCAGGAAACUGGGGCUAAUACCGGAUAUUAGCUCCUCCUGCCUUGUGGGGGGUGGAAAGUUUCUGCGGUUGGGGAUGGACUCCCGGCUUGUUAGCUUGUUGGUGGGGUAGUGGCUUACUACGACUUUGACGGGUAGCCGGCCUGCGGGGGUGACGAGCCAGAUAGGGACUGGAAUACGGCCGGGGCUCGUACGGGAGACAGCAGUGGAGAAGGUGGCACAAUGGGCGGAAGCCGGAGCGAGAGACGCCGAGGGCUGGGUGACGGCAUUCGGGUUGGAAACCGCUUUCGCCUGUGACGAAGCGUGAGUGACGGUAAUGGGUAAAGAAGCACCGGCUAACUACGUG